Molecule: long non-coding RNA, 1616 nt
Organism: Fukomys damarensis (Damara mole-rat)
Lineage: Eukaryota; Metazoa; Chordata; Mammalia; Rodentia; Bathyergidae
Source: Ensembl
CCUCCGACCCGGCCGCCAACUCUCUCUCGGAGCUGCCCCGCCGCAUGGUGUUCAGGACAGGUGCCAAUGCCUAUGCCUCCGCCGCCGCCGCCUCCCCUCAGCCGGCCCGGCUCGCGACCAAACUGCCCUCGCUGCUACUGCUGCUACUGCUGCCACGCUUUCCCCGCCCGAGCUCGUUGCCAUGAUCUCUCAGGCUCUGGUUGACAGAGGCAGACCCCGCCCCCAGACGGGGCCCGAGAAGGGACAAUCGCCGACCAAACCCUGAAACCUCAUAGGCGAGGGUGCACACGUGGCCAGGCCUGUCACAGAGGUGAUUGCGGCCAUCUUGGAAGAGGGCGGAACCGCCCUGGCCCGCCGACCCUGAAAAUCCAUUAAAUUUCUGAGAACUUGGACCCUAGCAAGAAGAGGGUGGAGUCAAGAUCAAGAACCACUGAUGGGAUCUACUUGAAGACUCUGGGGACCCGUGGAGCUGUCCGUGGUACCCGCUGACUUCUUGGAAACCCUUGAAAUGUGUCAGUGGAAAAAUCCAACCCCACACGCACCUCCUCCAAGAGAAGCACCAGCUGUGGCUAUGGAAGAGCAGAGAAGGCCUGGGAUGAAGGAUGAGAACUCCUGCCCCGGUGCACAAGCGCGUGUCAGACAUAAACAGUGCACUGUUCUUGUGGCCCACAGUAUCCCAGUGCUGAGUUCCGUGCCUGGAAGAGGGCACUUACUCAGUAACUAUUGCUUUAAUGAAUAAAAAAAAUGAAACUGCUCAGAUAUUCAACUAUAAGGAAAUAGUUAAGCAACUGAGAGCAAAAGUGGUCUACGACAGCUUCAGCCUCCGAGGGAAAUGUGGAUGAUGUAACACGAAGGGAACGGGUGCAAGCAUUGUAAUUGCAAUGCUUAAAAACUGCUGUACGUAAACAGGGCCUGGAAGAAUAUAGAGACAAAUGAGAGCGGCUGUGACGCUGGAGACAUGAGAUCUUGCUGGAAUUUUUCCUCUCAAUUUUGCAGCAACCUUGUGGCUCUUCCUAUUCUUGAACGCAGAAAUCAGUCCCAUUUCUAGAGACUGCUGCUAAGAAUUGGCAGGACAAAGCUUUCUGUCGUACUGCUACUCAGGAGAGGAACUGGACUAGGCACUUUGCAGACCUGGCAUUUCCUCUUCGCAAAAGCUCUGGGAGAGAUGGGCCCCGCGUUUUACUGAUGGGGCAGGGAAUUACUACGCAGAAAGGAGAAGACUCUGACCCAAGUCACACAGCUAACAAGGGCAGAGACAAGAGUCUCACUCAGGAUGGUCUGACACUAGCAUCCAGCUCCCAAAAACCCCACACCAAGCUUCUGUCCACAGGAAUAUUCAACAUAUGUUUAAACAUAGCUGUACCCACAUGAACGCAUAGGUACGUAAGUAAACUCACACACUGACCAUAAGCUAUGAAAAAGUUAUAGUCAGAAAAAGGACUGGGAGCAAAUAUGCCCAAGUAUUAACAGUGAUUAUUCUGGAUGAUGGAAGUCAGGGUGCUUUAUCCUCUCCUUUAUUCUUUAUUAUUUUCUGUUUUCUAAAUUUUCUGCAGGGAGUAUGUAUUGCCUUGUUAACUGAAAAUUUAUUUUUAAAUAAAAAUAUUCACCAUGGCUGC